CAGUAGCCGCGGUAAUACGUAGGGUGCAAGCGUUAAUCGGAAUUACUGGGCGUAAAGCGUGCGCAGGCGGUUUUGUAAGUCUGUCGUGAAAUCCCCGGGCUCAACCUGGGAAUGGCGAUGGAGACUGGCGAGCUAGAGUGUGUCAGAGGAUGGUGGAAUUCCCGGUGUAGCGGUGAAAUGCGUAGAGAUCGGGAGGAACAUCAGUGGCGAAGGCGGCCAUCUGGGACAACACUGACGCUGAGGCACGAAAGCGUGGGGAGCAAACAGGAUUAGAUACCCCCGUAGUCCCUGUCUCUUAUAC
Molecule: ribosomal RNA, 301 nt
Filed under: uncultured bacterium
Lineage: Bacteria
Description: partial 16S ribosomal RNA
Rfam family: Bacterial small subunit ribosomal RNA
Source: RNAcentral